AAUUGUGCAAAGGUAGCGUAAUCACUUGUCCCCCAAAUAGGGACCCGUAUGAAAGGCUAACUGAGGGCCACCCUGUCUCUUGUGACCAAUCAAUGAAACUGAUCUCCCAGUACAAAAGCUGGGAUACACACAUAAGACGAGAAGACCCUGUGGAGCUUUAAGCCACUGCCCUACCCCUCUAAAACCAAUAUAGGACAUGCUUUAAGUUGGGGCGACUGCGGAGAAAAAUAAACCCUCCAUGAAACCAGGCUCACCGCCACCACAAAACAAACACGUAACCUGGUACACACAACAUGACCCAGCACAGCUGACCACCGAACCAAGUUACCCCAGGGAUAACAGCGCCAUCCCCCUCAAGAGUCCAUAUCGCCAGGGGGGCUUACGACCUCGAUGUUGGAUCAGGACCCCCAAAUGGUGUAGCCGCUAUUAAAGGUUCGUUUGUUCAACGAUUAAAGUCCUACGUGAU
Molecule: ribosomal RNA, 466 nt
Filed under: Afroedura langi
Lineage: Eukaryota; Metazoa; Chordata; Lepidosauria; Squamata; Gekkonidae
Description: partial 16S ribosomal RNA
Rfam family: Bacterial large subunit ribosomal RNA
Source: RNAcentral